Molecule: long non-coding RNA, 788 nt
Organism: Pecten maximus
Lineage: Eukaryota; Metazoa; Mollusca; Bivalvia; Pectinida; Pectinidae
Exons: 2
Source: RefSeq, a predicted model, not a curated record
CUUCUCUGCUGAUGUAACGCACAGUAUCCUAUAUAUAACUUGUAUAUACAAUAGGGCAGGUAUUAGGAUGCACGUUCUUUUCACGUCUGGAUGUCAUUGAAAGAUUUUGGCCAGGCGUGGAGACUUCCAACAGGAAAUGAGCAACACUGGAAAUGUGUUUAUUUCUCGGCAACUUUACUGUUCUCAAAGAUAUGAGCCCAUUGAGUGAUUAAAGGAAAGACAGCAACUGUCGGCAGAGGUCACAUGCUAAAAAAGGGGCAACAGUCAAAAAAACGCAACUGUCAACAAAGGUCAUUUGUGAACAACGGGCAAGUAAAAACAAAGGUCAAUUGUCCUUAAGAAAGAGAUAUCUGCAGCCAAACCUGUCGACAAAGAUCACCGCUUGUCAAGGAUGGACAUAUUGUCACCAAGGAAAAAACAUGGACAGCAAAUCCUUGAAGAAGGGCAAAAACAUUAGCAGUCUGGCAAUAAAGGGCACAUGUAAAUAGCAGUAAUUUGAUAUUCAAAGGAGGACCAUCUGAAAAUAAAUGCUACCUGUCAAUAUAGACCACUUGUAAAUUAGGACACCUUAAAGAAAUAUGUCACUAAAAAACUUCAAACUGUCUGUACUUGGGAACUCAAUUAUGGCCGUAAGUCAGUAUGCUGAUCAUUGAUGACAACUUAAGUGUCUAACAAUGAAAACUGUAGACUGAUAUAGAAUGAUGUUAAUAAACAAUAGAUACGUAAAUAGAUAUAAUGUUUGUUGAUGAAGCAUGCAUGAUCAUAAAUAAACUAUUCCUGGUAAGUCA